AGUGAAUGAACCACGAAAGGGGGAAGUAUAAAACCAAGACACUAUUCUGAACUUACUAUUAAAAUCUAUUGGCACUUUAAACAGACAACUUGUUUCAUCUUAUAUAUUUUCUUUUUUUUUUUCUGUCAUUUCAAUUUUAUCAAUACAUUUGAUUAUUAUUUUUAAAAUGAGUGAAAUAUAUUACUGGUGAUAGAGAACUCUUUUAAUAUAAAGAUAGAGAAUGAAUAAAAAUGUAUGUAUGAGUGAUAUAAAAUAAAGUUUUUAUAUAUAUUAGGACUGGUGAUUAUUUUUGUGGCAUUGGUAGAUUUGUCAGUGGGAUACAAACCUGUGAGAUCCUUAAAAUAUUAUCGUCCAAAACCUUGGGGAUAUCGCCGAGCACAAUGGCACAGAUAUUCACAUUCACAUAAAAGUAUAUUGAAAAAACGUCGCCCGAAGUUGUCUCAUUAUCCUCCUCACUGGCGUCCUGAAAGAUCCCGCCAUCAAAGUAACAAGGAGCCUUUUACAAUCGAAUUUGAAUUACCCAAAUAUCCUGAAAAUUAUUCAAACAGAUGGAGAGAUAACUACCAAAAUAAUGAGGAUUAUGAUUAUUCCAAUGAUUACAUCGAUGAGGAGUAUGCUGAGGAUAAUCGUCAAGUUAGAGUUCAGGUACUGAAAGAAGGGGAGAGACAUCUGCGAAUAAAAUUAUCUCGUAAUGAUAAUUUUAAUAUAAAUAGUAGAAACGAUGAUAAUUAUUCAAUUAAUCGAUUGAAAAUGAUUUCAAUCCAGCAGCAGCAAAAUCUUGAUAGCAGUGGUAAUAGUAGUGGUAGUAAAUUUAUUAGAUCAUCUUCACCGCCAGAAGUUGUCGUGCGCAGUUGGAAAGGUGGUUGACAGACUGACUCCUGCUACUGAAUCUACUCUCUAUCCUUUAUCCUCCCAUUUUUUAAUUUCCGACUUGAGAAACCAACUAAAGUGACUUUUGAUGUAAACUCAACAUGCCGUCGGUAUGCUACUACUUGCAAUUUCAUUUUAUUUAAUGUCUCGUUACUCAUACUGAUAUAUCUAUAUAUAUAUAUUUCCGCGACACGAAAUUUAUUUAUAAAUAAGCUGUUGGAAAAAAAAAAUUUAUUGCAUCUCUCAUUUUUUAAUUUUUUUUUCUUGGUAUUUGGUAUUAAAAUAUUUAUAUUUAUUAUUGAUAAAUACAAGUAAAGUCGUAAAGUUAAAAAUAAAGGGCUUGUGUGCAAUAUGUAUACUUCCGAGUAACAAUACAAACAAUAAUAAUUAUAUUAAAAAAAUAAAUAAAUAGUUGUAAAGGUCAACAGUGGUAUAGGUGGUAUAGGUAUCCAGGGUUUGGCCACGAGCUGUUACGUUUUGCUUCGGCUUCUUCGGCAUCGAUCCACUCGCCCGUUUCCCGCCAUUUCGUCCUUUUCACCCAACUCCUCCUUAAACUUAUUUUUUUCAACCCUCAACACGUUACAUGUACAGUAUUGCUAGUUUUUGCACAUAUUGUGCCCAUGUUCGUGAUACAGAUGCUGCUGAAAUUAAAAAUAGAAAUUUAUCUCGAAAUUAUUAUUAUUUUUUUUUCUUUCUUUGGUUUUAUUUCUAACAUAAUAGUCAACGAACAUAUACAAUAAUGGUAAUAAAUACUUAUUUGUAUAUUUAUUAUACAGGUCAAAUUUUUUUUUUUUUUUUUAUUUACUUAUUUCGUUAAUAAUUUUUCAAACUCUCUUGUCCUCACAUUAACAACGUGUAACACUCAGCUCACAUUCUGCCAGUAGUCGUUUAUUAUUAUUAUUAUUAUUAUUAUUAUGUUUUUUUUAUCAUUAGUUCAAUAGUUGAGUGAACGAUGUGACAGAAAAAUCUACACACUCAUGUCACGUCUCAAUUAUCGACAUGUUAUUCUUUGUUUUUUUUUUUUUACAAUAUAAUGAUAUAUAUGAGUAUAAAAAAAAAUAAAGAGUGAAAUAAAACAAAUAUUUGUUAAGUACAAAUUUUCUUAACG
Microplitis demolitor is the source of this 1978-nucleotide RNA transcript. RefSeq lists it as uncharacterized. Lineage: Eukaryota; Metazoa; Arthropoda; Insecta; Hymenoptera; Braconidae. The transcript is spliced from 4 exons. The record is from RefSeq and is a predicted model, not a curated record.